AUGAACGCUGGCGGCGUGCCUAAUCCAUGCAAGUCGAGCGAACAGACGAGGAGCUUGCUCCUCUGACGUUAGCGGCGGACGGGUGAGUAACACGUGGAUAACCUACCUAUAAGACUGGGAUAACUUCGGGAAACCGGAGCUAAUACCGGAUAACAUGUUGAACCGCAUGGUUCAACAGUGAAAGACGGUUUUGCUGUCACUUAUAGAUGGAUCCGCGUCGCAUUAGCUAGUUGGUAAGGUAACGGCUUACCUAGGCAACGAUGCGUAGCCGACCUGAGAGGGUGAUCGGCCACACUGGAACUGAGACACGGUCCAGACUCCUACGGGAGGCAGCAGUAGGGAAUCUUCCGCAAUGGGCGAAAGCCUGACGGAGCAACGCCGCGUGAGUGAAGAAGGUCUUCGGAUCGUAAAACUCUGUUAUUAGGGAAGAACAAAUGUGUAAGUAACUAUGCACGUCUUGACGGUACCUAAUCAGAAAGCCACGGCUAACUACGUG
This 496-nucleotide ribosomal RNA is filed under the name uncultured bacterium. RNAcentral's name for it is "partial 16S ribosomal RNA". It matches the Rfam family "Bacterial small subunit ribosomal RNA", at positions 29 to 507 of the family's 1533-position model. The record is from RNAcentral.